AGUAGUAGAUAAUGACUUUUUAAUUAUUCAAUAUAUUUUUAUUAUUUCAUAAUAUGCUAUAAACAUAUAAUAUAUAAAAUAAUUUAUAUAUAUAACGUUUAUUCCGCGCAAGGCGCGGGUCUUAACCUAGUAUAUAAUAUUUUAUAUACGUUUGAUUCUACGCCGUUGAUUUAGAAAGAGGAUAUAAAGCAGACGUUAGAGGAUUCAUAUUGUAGGGCUGGUUUCGAAAGAAGAGAAUCUCUUUGUAUCCAAAUAGUUGGCACUUGAGGACUUGAUGAUGAUGAACUUUAUGUGAUUUCUUUUUAAAUUAAAUUAAGGAAAUAUUCAUAAAUGUCAUCAAUCCAAAAGGGUUCGAUUUUGCCUGAAAUCAGAAAUAGCUUACAAAAUUUUGGCUUUACUUUGAUAUCCAGAUGGUGACUAGAGUCUAAAGACAAUUUGAGUAUCAAACUCGGAUGUAGUAGGGACAAUAAGCAAAGAUUUAUAUCUGAUCAUAAAUUACUUAGGAUGACUAAUAAAGAUCUAGUGAAGUAAUAGUUCUUUUUUUUAACUUUCUUUAUUCAUCUUUCUUCCCCUCCCAAAUGAGACAUCGUUUUUGAAAAUGCAGUACAAGCAAAAAUGACAUACAUAUAGCUAAUAUGGUUAAGAUAGUGAACCCAAAUAUAUCUAAAAAGGCAGAUACCGAAAGAAACACUUAUGAAGGAUGAUGAACCAAAAUCAAGGAAGAUAAAAGAAAUCACAAUAAACAGUGAUUGAAAACUCUUGAACCAUGAGUGAAAAUAGGUUGAGGAAUCGAUUGAGCGGCAUGGAAGAGAACCGCUGGAUCCAAAACAAAAAGCUUUGGUCUUAAAAGAAGCUGGAGCUCUUUGACCAAACUGACAAUAUGUCUUGAAUUCGAAGAAUAAAUCUUUGUAGCAGCAGAGCAAAGCCAGAUGAGGAUGUAGUUGAACUCAUGAGGAGGGUUAGAUUUAGAGAUAUUAAAUUCAGAAUUUCAAACUUCAAAAAAUAAGAGCAUUUGAAAAAUAAGUGGUCUGGAUCUUCAUAAUGUGAAUCAUAGUGGACCAGUGGUGGACCCAGACUCAAAUUUAAAGUGGGUCAUAAAUUAGACUAAGAGCAUGUGCAACGCAGGGUUUUAGAUAAUCCUUAGCUUUAGUCUUUAGCUUUUUAGGAAUAAAAAAAUAUUAAAAAAGAAGGAAAAGCUAAGGAUGAAUCCUUAAUUAAGGAGAAGAAGGAUCAAGUCCUUAAUAUGCUGGCGCAACGGGAUUGGUUCGAGCUUUCUAUUUUUUUUUCCUUGAUACAAAAAUAAAAAAACACAGAUCUUUAUCCGAUUACGGGAGAAAGCUAGAAACUUUGUUAAAAGCUAUGGCGAAGAAGAUGGGAGUGACGAUGGAAGUAGGGAACGAUGGCGUUGCUGUGAUCACCAUUUCGAAUCCUCCUGUUAACUCUCUGGCCAGCCCAAGUAUUAAAAAGCUCCUUACUUUUGAUUAAUUUCACGAUGUUGAUUUGCUUUCUCUUUUAAGCUGAUUUUUUAUUUUGUGGAAUUAUUUAGUUAUUUCUAGGUUGAAGGAGAAGUUCAAGAUGCGAAUCAUAGGAGUGAUGUUAAGGCCAUCGUCUUGACAGAGAACGGUGGAAGAUUCUCGGGUGGUUUCAACAUCAAUGUUUUCCAGCAAGUGCAUAAGACUGGUACACAAGCGGCAUUACUGGUAUUAACAAAGACGACGCAGUUCAUCUCUUCCAGUCCAUGCUUCGGUCUGAAGCAAUGAGUUUGAUAGAUCGGAUGGUGGAACACGGCUUCCGACCUGAUGGAGUUACCUAUGGAACGGUUUUGAACAGAUUGUGCAAGUACGGGGAGACUUCCAUGGCCUUGGAUUUUCUCAGGAAGAUCAAGCACCAGGAAGCCGCUUGUUGCUGCAGUUGAAGGAUUAGCUCUUGGUGGUGGUUUAGAACUGGCUAUGGUGAAACUUUUCAAGUUUAUUUUUAAAAGUAUCUUUUUGUUGUUGUUUUUGUGUUGUUCUUGUGUUGUUGAUUGUACUACUUGUAAAAAAAAA
Molecule: long non-coding RNA, 2045 nt
Organism: Brassica rapa (field mustard)
Lineage: Eukaryota; Viridiplantae; Streptophyta; Magnoliopsida; Brassicales; Brassicaceae
Source: RefSeq, a predicted model, not a curated record